GUAAGAUAAUGACGAAUGUGGCAGCGAGAAAUGAUGGUUCUCCUGAUCUUCCUUUCUGUGGUAUCUUCUAAGGCAUCCCUGAUAUGUCUCUUUUGGUUCUUAAAUGAUUCUUGCUAUGAAUAGUUCAUCUCCUAAAUAUAUCUUAAUUGUGUUUGUCUCUAGGAGCGCGACAUCGUAACCCAGAUAAGUUCUUUCCAGAUUUAGAUAUUUAGCUCAACAUUAAAAUCGCAACUUCAUGAGAUUUUAAACCUGAAGGGAGAGCACUACGUAGCGUUCCUAUUUGAUAGCUCUCUUUGUCAUAUCUCAUUUGAUAGCUACAUCCAUGCCGGUGCUAAAUGCUUUUUACUUGUUUGCUCUGCUGAAAUUGAGCUGAACUACACUUCUACAACUUUGUAGCUAUAUGUGAGCCUCCCACUAAUUUUUUGACAGUUGCUUCGUUAGGUACACUCAUCAUUCAUGGUUUUUUAUUACAGUUUCUUAGCAUACAUGAUAUGCUUACCAACAGGUUCGUGGUACUACUGUCUUCAAACAUUUCAAAGCUUAAGACAUGGCAAACUGAUGAUUGGAAAACUUCAUGAUGCUAUCACCAAUUCAUUUUAAGCAUACAUGUAUAGCAGUUCUUAAUGCGGAUGAUUUAAGGUUCCAAACCUGCUGUUUGAUGUUGCUGGUAUUAUGUUUGGUCAAUGGUAUACCUUCUGGGAGUUCUUCUUUGCAACUUUGAUUGGGAAGACCAGCAUCAAGACUCUUAUUCAGGUGGAUGAAUCUUCCCAAGCCUAAGAGCUUGUUGGUACUCUGUUUGGAAGCUUCUUCCCAUGCUGAGAAGACCAUGGUGCUACUCCGACCAAGGAGAAUCAUUUAGGAAUGUAUUUUCUGACUGUUCAGCUUCGUUUGUCUUUUA
Long non-coding RNA from Triticum dicoccoides, 898 nucleotides. RefSeq lists it as uncharacterized. NCBI's taxonomy places the organism in Eukaryota, Viridiplantae, Streptophyta, Magnoliopsida, Poales, Poaceae. The transcript is spliced from 3 exons. The record is from RefSeq and is a predicted model, not a curated record.